CCUACGUGGCUGCAGUGAGGAAUAUUGGUCAAUGGACGAGAGUCUGAACCAGCCAAGUAGCGUGAAGGAUGACUGCCCUAUGGGUUGUAAACUUCUUUUAUAAAGGAAUAAAACGAGGCACGUGUGCCUUUUUGCAUGUACUUUAUGAAUAAGGAUCGGCUAACUCCGUGCCAGCAGCCGCGGUAAUACGGAGGAUCCGAGCGUUAUCCGGAUGUAUUGGGUUAAAAGGGAGCGUAGAUGGGUUGUUAAGUAAGUUGUGAAAGUUUGCGGCUCAACCGUAAAAUUGCAAUUGAUACUGGCAGUCUUGAGUAUAGUUGAGGUAGGCGGAAUUCGUGGUGUAGCGGUGAAAUGCUUAGAUAUCACGAAGAACCCCGAUUGCGAAGGCAGCUUACUAAACUGUGACUGACAUUGAUGCUCGAAAGUGUGGGUAUCAAACAGGAUUAGAUACCCGUGUGUC
This 457-nucleotide ribosomal RNA is filed under the name uncultured bacterium. RNAcentral's name for it is "partial 16S ribosomal RNA". It matches the Rfam family "Bacterial small subunit ribosomal RNA", at positions 338 to 795 of the family's 1533-position model. The record is from RNAcentral.